This 253-nucleotide ribosomal RNA is filed under the name uncultured Terrimonas sp. RNAcentral describes it as "partial 16S ribosomal RNA". It matches the Rfam family "Bacterial small subunit ribosomal RNA", at positions 524 to 776 of the family's 1533-position model. The record is from RNAcentral. Lineage: Bacteria; Pseudomonadati; Bacteroidota; Chitinophagia; Chitinophagales; Chitinophagaceae.
UACGGAGGGUGCAAGCGUUAUCCGGAUUCACUGGGUUUAAAGGGUGCGUAGGUGGGUUGAUAAGUCAGUGGUGAAAUCUCCGAGCUUAACUUGGAAACUGCCAUUGAUACUAUCAGUCUUGAAUACCGUGGAGGUUAGCGGAAUAUGUCAUGUAGCGGUGAAAUGCUUAGAUAUGACAUAGAACACCCAUUGCGAAGGCAGCUGACUACGCGGAGAUUGACACUGAGGCACGAAAGCGUGGGGAUCAAACAGG